AGUGGGAUAGUUGAGUCAUAUGGUGUUCCCAUUCCUGGUUUUUAAAGGAAUCUCCAUACUGUUUUAUAUAGUUGUUAUACUAAUUUGCAGUCUCACCAACAAU
RNAcentral lists this microRNA precursor (103 nucleotides) under Marmota monax (woodchuck). The record is from RNAcentral. Lineage: Eukaryota; Metazoa; Chordata; Mammalia; Rodentia; Sciuridae.